AGGAUAAUAGUUAAAUAUAACAUUUGAUUUGCAUUCAAAAAGUGUUGAAAAUAAUUUAUUCAACUUAUCUUA
RNAcentral lists this transfer RNA (72 nucleotides) under Trigomphus carus. RNAcentral's name for it is "tRNA-Ala". It matches the Rfam family "tRNA". Rfam says of the family: Transfer RNA (tRNA) molecules are approximately 80 nucleotides in length. Their secondary structure includes four short double-helical elements and three loops (D, anti-codon, and T loops). The record is from RNAcentral. Lineage: Eukaryota; Metazoa; Arthropoda; Insecta; Odonata; Gomphidae.